AGCGAACGCUGGCGGCAGGCUUAACACAUGCAAGUCGAGCGGGCAUCUUCGGAUGUCAGCGGCAGACGGGUGAGUAACACGUGGGAACGUACCCCUCGGUUCGGAACAACUCUGGGAAACUGGAGCUAAUACCGGAUACGCCCUUAUGGGGAAAGGUUUACUGCCGAAGGAUCGGCCCGCGUCUGAUUAGCUAGUUGGUGGGGUAACGGCCUACCAAGGCGACGAUCAGUAGCUGGUCUGAGAGGAUGAUCAGCCACACUGGGACUGAGGCACGGCCCAGACUCCUACGGGAGGCAGCAGUGGGGAAUAUUGGACAAUGGGCGCAAGCCUGAUCCAGCCAUGCCGCGUGAGUGAUGAAGGCCUUAGGGUUGUAAAGCUCUUUUGUCCGGGACGAUAAUGACGGUACCGGAAGAAUAAGCCCCGGCUAACUUCGUG
This 435-nucleotide ribosomal RNA is filed under the name uncultured bacterium. Its description in RNAcentral is "partial 16S ribosomal RNA". It matches the Rfam family "Bacterial small subunit ribosomal RNA", at positions 29 to 507 of the family's 1533-position model. The record is from RNAcentral.